UUAUAUCUGUUAGAUUAGUAUUAAUUGAAAUUUAAAGAUUUUGGCGGUUAAUUAUAAAUUAGAGGAGCUUGUUUUUAUAGAAUUAACUCUUUGUAUCUUAUAAUUAUUUUGUUUAUUUAUCUCCGUUAUUAGAAGUAAGAGUUUGAGAAAAAUGAUUUUUUUAUUUCAGGUCAAGAUGUAGCAAUUAAUUUAUAUAAUUAGCUACAAUUAUAAAGUAGAUGAAUUUAUUUAGGAAAUUUGUAAUGAAAUUGAAUUUAAUUGUAAUAUUAUUUAGAAUGAUAUUAUGAAUUAGUGUAAUUA
Molecule: ribosomal RNA, 300 nt
Filed under: Quindina sp. DNA101425
Lineage: Eukaryota; Metazoa; Arthropoda; Arachnida; Opiliones; Nomoclastidae
Description: partial 12S ribosomal RNA
Source: RNAcentral